UGCAUCGGCCGGGAAUCGAACCCGGGGCGGCAGGCGAGCAUUCUACCACUGAACCAAAAGC
Molecule: transfer RNA, 61 nt
Filed under: Cordylochernes scorpioides
Lineage: Eukaryota; Metazoa; Arthropoda; Arachnida; Pseudoscorpiones; Chernetidae
Description: tRNA-Ser
Source: RNAcentral